Long non-coding RNA from Planococcus citri (citrus mealybug), 6898 nucleotides. RefSeq lists it as uncharacterized. The record is from RefSeq and is a predicted model, not a curated record. The transcript is spliced from 2 exons. Lineage: Eukaryota; Metazoa; Arthropoda; Insecta; Hemiptera; Pseudococcidae.
UCGAAUCAUUUUUUGGAAGUGGAGAAAUUCAAUUUGAGAAAUUUCUCCAUAUUAUCAAAAUGAGCAUCGAAUAGCCUCGAAAUAGUUUUUAGAAAGUUCUGUUCUGAUGUUUCGCUUCACCCUCUGUGAUGAAAUGUGUUGAAUUAUUUUCCAUCAUUUAUUUACCAAAGCAUUAGGUAUCAUUUAUUAGUAGGUAUUAUGGGUUGCUCAUCAAACAUUCCAGUUGCUCAUUGAAAAAUUAAGCUCUCCAGUCUCCAUCGGAUUUUUAAUUUUCCAAAAUAGUCUAAAAAUUGCAUAAAUAUGUGCUUGACCUUACUCCAGAUGCUAAGUAGGGAGGAAGGAGGGGGUAUGUUUUGACUUCUUUUGAAAAUUCGUUGAAGAAUAUCGAAAAAAGUUAUGGCUUCGUAUCAAAAAACAUUGAGAAAUAUUUAGGAUCUGUGACUUGAACUCUCGUUUGUCAACUAGGGUUUCAAAUUUUGACAUUUCCUUUGAAAAUUGGAAAAAAAUAUUUCUUCGAAAAUUGUUUGUAAAGACAGUAUUUACUUGCACCUGAGGUGCUAACGUGUCUACAUGGUAUAACUUCACCCAUGACCUUGUUAUACCUAUACCUAGUGCUAGCACAGAUAGGCACUGGCGAUUUACCGCCUCGUAUACCUACUCUUCGGAGAUAAAAUAUGAAAUAUUAAUUAUGCACACUGAUAUAUGAAUAAAAUGAAUACUCAGUCGACUAUAACGUUACAUUAGCUUUAUUGGUUAUUAAGCACAGCAUGUAUAUAGUCUUAGUAUAUUACGUAAAUAGAAUUACGAUUUGAUUUAAAGGAAGCGAGUACAAGUAGUCGCAAAUGCGUGUAUAAACACCACCCAGGGACAAGGGCAUUCAUGCCGGAUAGGGCAGGUCCAGUAUAAAUGACUCUAAGAAGAGAAUUUAGAGAUGCUGCAGUUCAUCCCUUGAGUAACCACGAUCCAAUCCAAUAGUCCAUUACGUAAAAGAUAUUCCAUAUCCCAGUAAUAAUUAGAUGGAAAGUACGUGCUCCAUACGUCGAACGUACUGAUAGGGCUCCGUACCUCGACCUAUCUAUUGAAUUGAAACCAAGCUCUCGCUUAGUGAGUCCGUGAUUGACUGGUGUUGUGAUCGGAUAACGUAAAACACUUCACUGGCGCGAACUAAACCGCUAGAUAGCGUGGUUACGUAAGAGAACUGACAUUAAACCGAAUGAAAGGUAGAAGGAGAACAAUUUUCCCUCGCCUAAGCGACGGAAAAUGGCGCAAUUCCUCCCUUUACAUUGCCCCGAGUGAUUACUUAUAGAAAUAUGUAACCACUCUAACAAAUAAAAAGGGAGAAUGACCGUUGUGCCCUAUCCUUGCCCCGGGUGUUUACAUGUUGCUGUAAGGUAAAUAAAAACGCAGUAAAAUAAACAUCUUCUUAUCUACAGAUGAUAUAAAAUAAAAACAAUACAAUACUAAAAGGAAAGAAAAUUUGUAACAACAAAAAGAAAAUGUCCAACCUCUGGAAAAAUUAAAAUUAUAAAAGUAAAACGAAAUGAAAAAUUAUCCAAACAGAAAUCUGUGAAAGAUUAAAAUAAGUCGCGUUACAUCCUAUGGUUCAGAGAACUAGCGAAAAUCGAAGGUGCAUAAUGUAUGUACGUUAAUGAUGGAAGCUAUUGAUUAUUACAGUAUGUAUCAAUUUUGUACAUUGUUACGUUAUUCUAUUCUAUGGCUAACAUGAAUUUAUUUAUUGUUUCAGGUUCCUUGUGGUAGAAUGUAGUUUGAUUUCGUUCUUCGGUAUCUGUCUCAUUCCGGGAAGUAUGAAUUACGUAAGAUUGGUAAGGUUCCAGAUUUUCGAUACUUUGUAACUUAAUUUUUUUAUCUACAGAUGUUUAUUCAGCAAGAAGCGGCAAUAGACCCAAUACAGCCUCCAAAAUAAUGCGGUGGUCAAGAAAUGGACAUUUGUCAACUAUCUUUUCUGGUAACGUUCGAUCUAGUAUACUUUCAAGUUGUUUUAUAUAGUUUGUAUUAUGUGUAUCUUUUUUCGAGAUGCUGAUAGCUUCUAGCCAGUUUCUAAAUUUCUUCGUCUUAUCACCAUGUACUAUGUGUUUUAUAGGUGGUAUGACGUAAAUUUUCUUUACGCCGGAAUUAGUCAAUGUCUUGAUCAGUGCGUUAAAAUCGUCUCUCAUUUUUUCUUCGUCGGUAUUUUCGUGAAGAUCUUUAUGGCCUAUCGAUACCAGCACUUUUUUAGGUAAUUUUGUUACAUUUUUGGAGAUUGACCUAUUUAAAUCUGUUGUUGAUAUAAAACCGUUUACGUAAUCGUUGUAUUCCAAUUUUUCAGUGUAAGCUUGAUCGCCGUCUAUCGCAAAAUGAACCAUUUGAUGUACUAGACCGUCGCCCAGCAUCCAAUAUUGUUGCAGAAAGAAGAUAGUCUCUGUACCUUUAUUUCGUAACGUAAGCGUAGCUCCAGUUGUGUAUAAAUUGUAUCUAAACUUUCUACACGUCGAACCGAAUUCAUCAGGUCGAGAUUGUCAAUCGAUUUCGGUAGUUCUUUACGUCACGGAUUGCUCCGAAAUGUCCUGGCUUGAGAGGACUACGGGUAUGAUUAUUAUCUAUAAUUGAUUCGAACUUAUUCUGUUCAUAUUUAGUUCUAUAUCGAUUGAUAGCAUUACGUCGAUGACUAUUACGUAAAGGAGUUCUUGGUACGUAUCGUGAACCGGAUGGUUUGAGUAUUACUUUUAGAUUUUUCGUAUUGAUUGGUUUUCUUUCAGGAGAUCUAUGGCGUAUUUGGAUCAUAGUUUUGCUGGUUUUGGUUGGCGAUGAUGACUUUUUCGGUGGUGAUUUCUUCGGUGAAGAUUUUGCGGGUAAUUUUACUGUUUUUGUAAUGGUUGAUUUAAGUAGUGGGAUUUUGAAUUCAUCUGUUUUUUCUGUUUUCAGGUGUUCAUGUUUCCAAUUGGUUUCCUCAUCGGACGUGUCUUCAUAUUUUGGUUCAAAUUGUGAUUCGUCGAUUUCUUUUUCAUUAGAUGUAGAUUCGGCUGAGAUCUGAUCUUCGUCGCUUAAAGGUUGUAUGAAUUCAUCGAUCGGAUUGUCAUAUUUGUGUUCCGGUGUUACGUUAUCAAUCGGUUCACAUUUUUUCAGGUGUAUAAUUUUUUCCACUGAUAAUUUUACUCGAUCAUUUAAAUGUUUUACGUCAGAGUUCAAUUUAGCAAUUUCGUUCAUAUAAUCGUUGUUCUCUAGUUUUAGCUCUUGAUUUUCUUUGCGUAACUGCCAUAGUUGUUGGACCAAGGUAGCUGGUGACGUUGAAUCGUCUUUUGUAGUUGUAAUUUGGAUGUUAUUUGCUUGCACUUCGACGUCAGAUGCAAGAAUCAGCGAUAUGUUGCAGUUGGGAAAUACGCAUUUCUCAGUGCCAGGCGCAUAAGCUGUAUACAGGUUAGUUAGACAUUUUUCGUGAUAAAUAUGUCUGCAUGAUGUUAUCCUUAGUUUUGCAUUUGUUCGAUCUUGAUCUGGACCUUGUCCAAGUGAUUUGUUGCAGCUUGAGCAGGUAAUGAUGUUUACUCGAAUUGCGUCCAUUUUCUUCCUGGUUGGUUCAGAGUACAGCUUUUCUUCCAUGGAUUACGUUACGAAAAUGAAAACUUGAGAUUCGGAAUUGAACGGAAUCGAAAGUACUUGAGAAUAAUCGGAUUCGGGUUACGUAAGAUGAAGCUUUUCCUUUGACAAAACUCCGCGGUUUGCUACACGUGUCUGAGGACCUGUUGGAUGUUUUUAUAGUUGUAAUCCAUUGUACUUUAUGCGUAUUGUAUCCGUGUAUUAUUUUGUACUUACGUGAGUCAGCUUUUCAAAUGAUUUCUGUUUUUUGAUGUACUUGUUGUGCUAACGUCGUGAUAAUGAUGAACUUUUGAACUUCAUUAAACUAUUGUAUAUUUACGCCAUGAGAUACUGUUUGUUAUUUCGAUGUUCCAUUGUAAUACUGUUACCUGUGACUUUAUUUUUCACGUUAUAUCAUGUUUGACGAUUUUAUUUUACUCGAAUACUUUGUACGGUUUUUCUGUGUGUUGGUUGUACUAACGGAUGAGAUUGCUCUUUUUGAAUAAAUGAAAUCUGCUCUCACGAUGAUAGAAUUUAUUUUAUUUAAACAUAUAACGAGUACAUAAAGAAAAACAUUGGGUAAAUAUUGAGAUUGAUAUUGAGAUACACGAUUAGAUUAUUCCACGACUGCUGGAAUCAGUAAAUUCGUUACGUAAGAUUAAAACUAUAUAAAAAGAUUAUCAGGUACAUUCCCACAACUGCUGGAGAUCUUAUUAUUUAACGACAAACUCUAAAAUUAAUGUGAUUAUAGCUGUAGGUACAUUUCUAUCAUAACGUUAUUUGAACUUAUAACGUUUUCCUUCACCGUUGGAAUUAUUACUCUAUUACGUUAAAGUAGCUUUUGAUGUAACGAUUGUAAAAAUAUACAUAUUCAAGCAGUUAUGCGUUACGUAAUGUUUCGAUACCUAUACGAUCUUCAUAUUCCUUGUAUCUAUCUUCUCCUAUGGUAUCUGGUCGUUCGGGAAUCUGAGUUAGGAAUAAGUCGCCUUCAUCAUGUAUAUCAGCUGCUAUCAGGGAAACCAUUUCGUAGUUCGCGGUAUAUGUGUGGAACAUAUUUUCCUGACGAUCUAUAAAGUACGGUACCGGAUGCUUUUGAUAUAUUUCUUCGAACUGCUCCAUAUAAAUAAGAUCUGCACCUUUUAUCUGUACCGCCUCUUCCUUUAGCCAUUUGUUAAACCGCUCAGCUUUUAUCGCAUAUUUUUCCAUAGCUGCAUAGGAAUAGACCAUUGGGAUCAGAAGAAUUCUCUUCGCUCCUUUGCUGAUCAUAAGAUGUAGUAGUUGAGUCGUGUUUUUGAUUACGUUACGAAAGAUUUCUUUUCUGACAUCAUGGUUUCCGAUGGAAACUGCUAACAUUGGAGGCAGCUGUCUUAUAGCGUAUAUGAGGUGGUUUUUGAGUUUCUUCGGUGAUAACGUGCCUGUCAGUAGUAACGAAUUCAUCAUGGUUGUACGCAGAGGCUUGUUUUCGUAUAGUCCUUCCCAGGCCAUUGCGCAGAGAGCCCCGUCACCGAUCAUCAUAUAGUUUCCCAUAAAAUAGCAUUUGAUGUUAUAUCCGCGGGGGUGUUUGUACGUAUACUGUGUUAUGAAGUCGGUUUGAAUUUUGUCGGUAAAGCGAUCAGAAUAUCUCGUUGUUACGUUACUAUUGAAAUUAAAUCCCUUUUUGAAGCAUUCUCUUCGUAGUUCGCUGAUGUUGUAUUCGAUGGGUAUGUCGUAGGUUUCUCUGUCGUGCAUGAUCAUCGGUCUGAUUUCAAUCGGUUCUUUAAACGUUACAUAAUAAAAAUUGUUGUUUUCUUUGAGUUUCUUCCAAUGUUGGUAUGGUGUGACGUAGUUGGUUUCAGCAUCGCUUUCGAUUUCGAUGGUUAUUACGUUAUUUGAGGUAGAUGGUUGCAGAUUGUUGGGGUUCGAUUGUAUUACGUUAUUAGUGAGAGCUUCUUUCAGGUGUGGAUUCUGUCCAAAUUGGUCUACUUCGAAUUUUAAUUCUUCACCUAAUUCGAUCCCAUCCUCUUUUUUCAUUUCUUCGUAUACUCGUUUCAUCUCUCUAUUAAACAGUAUUUGUCUGAGACCUUCUAAAUCUUCUUCAAGUUUCCGAAUCCGUGUAUCUUUUUGUUCUAGGUCAUUGCUUUGUGUGUUAACCGUUUGCUGUAUCUCUUCAAUCGUCUUUUCUGAUUCAUCCAAUUGUAGUUUUAAAUUGCGAUUGUAAUUUACGUAUCGAGCAAUUACACUUGCCAUAUCAUCUGCUGGUAUCCUGAUCGGACGAACCUUUCCAACUUCGAAGAUUUCUUUGCAAUUGGGAAUUUGGCAUCUUCCUGGGUUCUCUUUUUCCUCACAGCUGAUAAUUACGGUGGUCAUUAGGUUAACACAUCGUUGGUGUGCAAUGUGCCGGCAUCGAUCAAGAACUGUAAUACCCUUUGAAUAUUCCUCGUCGAGUAUUAACAGCAAACAUAUUGCGCAAAUUGGCAUUUUUACGGUCGCUUCGUAUUCGGUCAAUCCUAACGAAUCGUCUAUCAUUUUGCUCGCCAUUCUGAAUAACAUAUAUAUGGGUAGUUGUUAAUAUCUGGUCUGAUUAUUACACAGUUGGAUAUGUUGGAAAAAUUUACCUUGAUAUAUUGAUUGGAAAGCUCCUUCGAUUAAACUGAUUGUCUUUAGCUGUUUAUCACGACACUUUUAUUGCUUCUUCUUCGCACUUUCACUAAUUAAUCGUCAAAUAUCAUCAAAAUUUCGUACCAAAUUAUAACACAAAGAACUUUACAUCAUAGUAGAUCUUCCACGGUUGAUUGCACAAUGUGUUUCAAUUUUUUGUUUAUCAACAGAUUUGUCUACUAAUUUGGGGUUGCGGUGCUUGUCUGAUUUGCCUAUGUUUGAUGGAUGAGGUAUCGUAAGAAUAAUUGGAAUCCAUAGUAUAUCUCUUGAUUUUAUUUUAUAUUUAGAAAAUGAACAAAUAAGGCAUAAUUCACAAACAUAACGAAUUGUUUUCUUAAACUAAUAGUAACUCUUUGGAUUAAUAUUCAUAUUAACGAAACUCCUCUACUGCAGGUAUAAAAAUAGCAUAACGUAACUAUAUAUUGAUAAUGGGUUUUUUGGAAAAGAAAAUUAAACUGGUUGACUUCUUUUUGCACCUUUUACGAAUUGAACAAUAUAAUGGUAAUUUUUCUUCGACGACAGGUUAUUUGAAUGGAUUCACUGUUCAAAACACUUUGAUCUUUUUUAUUACGUUAUUCACCGAUGAAUCUUUAGUGUGAGGAAUUUUUUAGCUUCGGAUUUGAAAUGGUUCGAUAGGCGGGAAUACAUUUUGAUGAUUAAGUCCAACGCUGGUCGAAUAUUACUCAUCGCA